RNAcentral lists this ribosomal RNA (492 nucleotides) under uncultured bacterium. Its description in RNAcentral is "partial 16S ribosomal RNA". It matches the Rfam family "Bacterial small subunit ribosomal RNA", at positions 29 to 507 of the family's 1533-position model. The record is from RNAcentral.
AGUGAACGCUGGCGGUAGGCCUAACACAUGCAAGUCGAACGGCAGCACAGUAAGAGCUUGCUCUUACGGGUGGCGAGUGGCGGACGGGUGAGGAAUACAUCGGAAUCUACUUUUUCGUGGGGGAUAACGUAGGGAAACUUACGCUAAUACCGCAUACGACCUACGGGUGAAAGCAGGGGAUCUUCGGACCUUGUGCGAUUGAAUGAGCCGAUGUCGGAUUAGCUAGUUGGCGGGGUAAAGGCCCACCAAGGCGACGACCCGUAGCUGGUCUGAGAGGAUGAUCAGCCACACUGGAACUGAGACACGGUCCAGACUCCUACGGGAGGCAGCAGUGGGGAAUAUUGGACAAUGGGCGCAAGCCUGAUCCAGCCAUACCGCGUGGGUGAAGAAGGCCUUCGGGUUGUAAAGCCCUUUUGUUGGGAAAGAAAAGCAGCAGGUUAAUACCCCGCUGUUCUGACGGUACCCAAAGAAUAAGCACCGGCUAACUUCGUG